AAAUUUUCUCCCUAAUACUCUCGCUAAUAGUUACGAGUAUUGAGUAGAAAUUUGCCCCAACUUUGGAAUCAGUUAUCCUCCUCCUCUCUGUGAAAAACAAAUUGUAAAUAACUAUCAAUUUUUUGUUUUCAUAAACUGUGAAAAUAGUUAAAAAAUCAAAACCAGUAAAAAAAAUAGCCAAAAGCAGCAAAAAAAACACCAAAUAAUAGAUUUAUCCAAUAAAAAGCAGUAAAAACAGUUGAGAUAACAGUCGAAACAGUAAAACAGCAGUAAAUAAAAGUUGAAAUAGUAUAAUCAACAAAAAUAACAGAAGAAAAAAUAAAAAGUUGCCCAGAAACAAUCAAAAAAACUAAAAAUAGUAUAAAUACAAAAAAUAAGCAGAAAAAAAAGAGCAAAUAACAAUUAAUUUUUGUUUAUAAGAACUGUAAGACCAGUAAAAAAAAACUUUAUCUGUAACAGGAAAAACAUAAAAAAAAAUUACCCAAAAACAGUAGAAAAAUACAAAUAACAUAUUUAUCCAGUAAAAAAGAGCAAAAAUAACAGUAACUAAGAGUAGAAACAACAGAAAAAUAAUAAAUAAUAGUAAAAAUAGCAAAAUCAACAGAAAAUAACAGCAGAAGAUAAAAAGUUACAGCAUCAAAUAACAGUAGAAAGAACAAACACAGCAGUAAAUAACAGUAUAAACAGCAGAAUCAAUGCAAAUAGCAGCAAAAAAAUAAAAGCUUACCCAAAAGUAGUAAAAAAAAAAUCAAAUAAUUGUAGAAACAAUAAAAAUUAGCAAAAACAGUGGAAAGAGCAGCAAACAAGUGCAGCUUAAAGUGACGGUAAUACGACAAAAUAAAAAUGUAGGCCAAUAGGCUAUGGUGAAAAGCCUAGUAGAGUAGUGGACCACUUCAAAUUUUUUGAGUUAUAGACUUUAGCAAGUUGGAUUUAAUGAAAAACUAAUUCAAGAUUUAACACAAUUUUUGUAAUUAUUUCUCUAUUAAUGUGCAGAAGAGUCAAUGAAUUGGAAAGCAAAAGCUUGGAUAUUUAUAGAAUCAAAUGGAUUGUUAUGGAGUUUAAGGUGUGAACCAAUGAUUUCUACUGUCUAGGUCCAGUUACUCAAACAACAACCUAAUUAAAAUCCUCUUCUUUGUUUAUUAUUAUUAUUCUUAUUAAAAGGAAGAAUUGAUUGGGCAGGUCUAUAUGCUAUGUUUUUGCAAACUUUUUUCAAGGGUAGCAUUCUUUCGAAAAUCAAGUCAAAGAAGCUACUCCCUAUACCAUGGUGCUUUCCCCAACUUUACCAUUAGUGCCCACUGCCAUGCAACUAAAUUUUUAAUAAAUAUAUCUCCUACUUUUUCUUUUCGGGAAUAUACCUUCAAAAUUAUCAGGGUUCAAUUUUGGCUAGUUAUACAAAUACCACUUUUACUUGAUGGUUAGAGAUUCUAUUCCAUAACAGCUCAAUCACACAUAAUUCAAAAACGCCCAAGUCACACACACAAGAACAAAAGAAGGCAUAACAACUGAAACGAGAGAGGGGGUGGAGAGAGUUCCAGUAUAAAUUCAGGAUCCCCAAACCCCUAAACUUGCCACACAUAACACAUACCACCUCCCUCCGUCAGCAGACAACAAAGUACUCAAGGAUAAAUUGGCACAUCAUCAUAACAAAAAAGAAAAAAAAAUAUAUAGAUGCUUCCAGACCUCAGAAUAGCAAGUGCGCACAAAAGAUGAAAAAAUGUGGACUUAUAAAACUAUCACAGCUUCAUCCAAGCACAAUUAUACCAAAGCAAGGAAGCAAAGUCCAAUAUUGUCAUAGAAUUAUAUAAAAAUUAGAUAGUUAAGCAAAAGUGUGCAUACCAUCUCCAUGGACACUUAAAUCCAAAAAAUUAUAACAAAAAUUAGAUAAGAAAAGAAUGUAACGUGAAAGAUUUGUGCUCAUACAGGAAUUGUAGUUUUGAAAACUGACGAUGGUGAAUGAAGUCAGAGGCAGCGAACAUCGACAGGAGCGAGGAACCGAAUCGAAAACAACAACAAGCUACAGCGUCGACACACUUGAACGAAAGUCACAGGGGCGGCAGCUGGCGUGGGUGUGUGAGUGUGACUAUCGUUCUCUCUCUCUUUCACGAUAGAGAAGAAGAACUCAAGUGAAA
Molecule: long non-coding RNA, 2129 nt
Filed under: Citrus sinensis (sweet orange)
Lineage: Eukaryota; Viridiplantae; Streptophyta; Magnoliopsida; Sapindales; Rutaceae
Description: long non-coding RNA (CSIN_LNC004220)
Source: RNAcentral